AGCGAACGCUGGCGGCAGGCCUAACACAUGCAAGUCGAACGGAUCCUUCGGGAUUAGUGGCGGACGGGUGAGUAACACGUGGGAACGUGCCCUUUGGUUCGGAACAACUCAGGGAAACUUGAGCUAAUACCGGAUGUGCCCUUCGGGGGAAAGAUUUAUCGCCAUUGGAGCGACCCGCGUCUGAUUAGCUAGUUGGUGAGGUAAAGGCUCACCAAGGCGACGAUCAGUAGCUGGUCUGAGAGGAUGAUCAGCCACAUUGGGACUGAGACACGGCCCAAACUCCUACGGGAGGCAGCAGUGGGGAAUCUUGCGCAAUGGGCGAAAGCCUGACGCAGCCAUGCCGCGUGAAUGAUGAAGGCCUUAGGAUUGUAAAAUUCUUUCACCGGGGACGAUAAUGACGGUACCCGGAGAAGAAGCCCCGGCUAACUUCGUGCCAGCCGCCGCGGUAA
Molecule: ribosomal RNA, 449 nt
Filed under: uncultured bacterium
Lineage: Bacteria
Description: partial 16S ribosomal RNA
Rfam family: Bacterial small subunit ribosomal RNA
Source: RNAcentral